This 356-nucleotide ribosomal RNA is filed under the name uncultured bacterium. Its description in RNAcentral is "bacterial SSU rRNA". It matches the Rfam family "Bacterial small subunit ribosomal RNA", at positions 917 to 1271 of the family's 1533-position model. The record is from RNAcentral.
GGACCCGCACAAGUAGUGGAGCAUGUGGUUUAAUUCGAAGAUACGCGCAGAACCUUACCAACACUUGACAUGUUCGUCGCGACUUUAAGAGAUUAAAGUUUUCGGUUCGGCCGGACGAAACACAGGUGCUGCAUGGCUGUCGUCAGCUCGUGUCGUGAGAUGUUGGUUAAGUCCCGCAACGAGCGCAACCCUCACUUUUAGUUGCCAUCAUUAAGUUGGGCACUCUGAAAGAACUGCCAGUGAUAAGCUGGAGGAAGGUGGGGAUGACGUCAAGUCCUCAUGGCCCUUACGUGUUGGGCUACACACGUGCUACAAUGGUAUCUACAACAGGAAGCAAGACUGCGAAGUUAAGCAAA